GCGCGUUAUAGGAUUUUACUCGUGUUUUAAAUUAAAUUUAAUUUUGUGCAUUUUAUUGCGUUUUAAAUAAAAUAAGCGGCAGGCGGCAGCUAAAAAUAUAUUAAAGAAUAUAAUUUAUAUUCUAGAAAAUAAACAGGUUCAUCUGUAGACUGACCAGGACAAGGCAUUUUUCCAAUUUAAUAAGCCGCAGGCGGCAGUAAUAUUCUAAAAAAUAAAAAAGUUCAUCUGUAGACUGACAAAAAGGAUUAUAUUAUUGCAAGUAGUGCGUUGAAAGCACACCGCAUUUUAAAUAAAUUAAGCGGCAGGCGGCAGCUAUAUUCAAAAAAAUAAAAAGGUUCAUCUGUAGACUGACAAAAAGGAUUAUAUUAUUGCAAGUAGUGCGUUGAAAGCACACCGCAUUUUUAAUAAAUUAAGCGGCAGGCGGCAGCUAUAUUCAAAAAAAUAAAAAGGAAUACUACAGAAAUGGCAAAAGAGGAAGGAUUUAUAAUAAAGGUAUCAACAUCAGAACUGGGCUUAACAAAGCCCUUGGAAGCAGUCCAACUCCUUCUAAACACACCCGAUGCGAAAAAAUAUCCAAGGGAAGAAAAUUGUUCGUUCCAGAAAGUAAUGCAGAUGAUUGCAUCAAAUCACUAAAAUUUGACAAUUUGACGGCUGAACAAUUUGAUAACUAUUGGAUGGCAUGCGCGCAGCAUAGACUGCACACAAUUCAAAAUGCGAAUUCAACUUCCGAAAUUUUUGAGCAAUGGGAACAUUAUAAAGGUCCCCUUGGACACAGAUUGGUGAAUAAUAUAAUUUUCAUGAAAUCAUAACAUUAUAGUUUUAACCAAUGAAUAUAUAUUAUUUUAUUUAUAUAUACAUAUGUGACAUAUGACAUUUUGUUCUAAUAAUACUAUUUAAAUCAAAAAUGUUGCUAACCUAUUACCUUUUUAUUUGUUGGUUUUAACUUGAAUCACAGAACAAAUGUAAACAUGUUAAAACUAAUAAAAAUAUUGUUAAUAUUGAUCAUCUUACAAUUCUAUUUAAUAAAGAAAUUUCCCCUUAUAAAUUUAAAGUAGGAGGAGAAGCUAUACAAUACAUACCAUUUAUUCAUAUUUAUUGAAAUUUUGUAUAAUGCCUCACAUUCUGCAUGCAUUCCUGUUGAUUUUAUUACAAUUUUCUUACUCUUUUGUUUCUACUCGACAAUAUCUUUAACAAAUUUUAAUCAUGACGAUUUUUUAUUAAUUUUUGUUUAGAUUAAUAUGGACUUUGGGGCCAUGUUUGAUACAACAUAUUCCUUACUAGAUAACUUCAACCAAUAUUUUCCACAUAUCCUGGAAUUUUUAAAUAUUGAAAAGAAGGUUAAGGAAAGGGAAAUGAUAAAGCUUUUGGAAUCUUUAAGAUUGGAAGAUUUCAAUGAAAAUACAAGAAACGUAGUAAUUUUGCAUUGUCUGCACGGAUAUUUGAUCCCUACACAAAAAGCCGUAGUAAAGGAAAAAACGGGUAAAAAUAGUACCCUAAAGUACACUAUUAAAGACUCUCAAGAAGCAUUCCUGUUUAUCGCAAAAUCGCCACAGGAAGUAGAAGAUCAUCUUCUACACUUGCAACAGAGAUCGGGAGCAAUACAGCCGUUCGUAAUUGCUGUGGGUGAGGGGAUCACAGAAUGUAAAGAUUUUUUUGUUUAUUUUGAUGGUGUUAAAUUUCAAUUUAAAAGUCUUAUUAGAGCAGUUGACAUUUGUUUUAAAACUUUUCAUCUUUUUAAUUUGCACUAUCCAAUUGCAUGUUCUUCAUUUUGGACUUUUAUUCAGUUAUUUUUUUAUAAAAUUACACCAACAUCAUCCAAUCCCAGAAUUCAAAUUCUUAUAGAUUUCCUUAAAAAAAAGAAAAAUUGUGAAUAAACUUUGACUUUAUAUUCUAUUAUUAAUACUAAUAUUAUAUUAACAUUUAAAAAUAUUUAUUUAUUAUUAUUUAUAUAACAAAAAAACUCUUACAAUAAAUCGAACCAUUCCAAUGCAAAA
Molecule: RNA transcript, 1994 nt
Organism: Eupeodes corollae
Lineage: Eukaryota; Metazoa; Arthropoda; Insecta; Diptera; Syrphidae
Exons: 7
Source: RefSeq, a predicted model, not a curated record